Long non-coding RNA from Eptesicus fuscus (big brown bat), 255 nucleotides. RefSeq lists it as uncharacterized. The record is from RefSeq and is a predicted model, not a curated record. The transcript has 3 exons. NCBI's taxonomy places the organism in Eukaryota, Metazoa, Chordata, Mammalia, Chiroptera, Vespertilionidae.
UGCACCUCUGGGUGAAGGCCUGGCAUCCACCAGCUGUGUCCACACCAUUUAAGAAUCAACCACCAGCUUUACAACGGGGUCACUUUCCAACAAGAGCAAAAAAGUAUUUUGGAUGUACUUACUAUAUUCUGAUUCUCAAAUAAUGACUUGGGAGCAGCCUGAGCUUUACAUGUCUUCAGGAGACUAACUUGUAAGAACUAAUGGGAAGCUGGAAAAAUAGUAAUACAACAGAUUAAAUCUUUUUGGCCUAUAACC